This 63-nucleotide microRNA precursor is filed under the name Canis lupus familiaris (dog). RNAcentral's name for it is "microRNA cfa-mir-503 precursor". Its record names the gene cfa-mir-503. It matches the Rfam family "mir-503 microRNA precursor family", at positions 6 to 68 of the family's 71-position model. The record is from miRBase by way of RNAcentral. RNAcentral also lists the same sequence under 1 other name. Lineage: Eukaryota; Metazoa; Chordata; Mammalia; Carnivora; Canidae.
UAGCAGCGGGAACAGUACUGCAGUGGGCAAUCGGUGUUCUGGAGUAUUGUUUCUGCUGCCCGG